GGUGGCUCAGUGGUACAGCACUUGUCUUGCAUGCAUGAGGCCCUGGGUUCGAUUCCUCAGCACCA
Molecule: transfer RNA, 65 nt
Filed under: Dipodomys ordii (Ord's kangaroo rat)
Lineage: Eukaryota; Metazoa; Chordata; Mammalia; Rodentia; Heteromyidae
Rfam family: tRNA
About the family: Transfer RNA (tRNA) molecules are approximately 80 nucleotides in length. Their secondary structure includes four short double-helical elements and three loops (D, anti-codon, and T loops).
Source: Rfam by way of RNAcentral